RNAcentral lists this long non-coding RNA (433 nucleotides) under Panax ginseng (ginseng). RNAcentral describes it as "long non-coding RNA (PGIN_LNC005466)". The record is from RNAcentral. Lineage: Eukaryota; Viridiplantae; Streptophyta; Magnoliopsida; Apiales; Araliaceae.
UAAUACCCAAAAAAAAUAAUAUUAAAUAAUAAAAAUUAUUUUGUUUGAAAGCAUAUUAAUUGGACUUUGUCCAUUAUUUUGGGUCAAAAUAGUUAUUUAAUUUGUGUGGACUAAUAAAUAUUAAUAAGAGAUGGGUAAAUUAAUUUAGUACAAAUUGGGCCUUAAAAAUUAAUUGGGUUUAAUUUAUGUGGGUAGUAUUAAAAUCCUAUUAUAAUUAGGAGAAAUAAUAAGAUAAUAAAUAAAACCUAAUUCACUUAAACAUUUCGCCUGAUACGAGUUGGGGAAAAGAAGGAAGAAGCGGCAUCAUAGCAGCAUAAAGAAGAGAACACGAGGCUUUUAUUUCGGUACUAAUUAAUACCUUUUCGUUGAGAAAUUGAUUUAAUGUUAAAACAUCUUGCAUAUUGAGGGCAUACAUCAUAGAUAUUUGAGNNNN